This 220-nucleotide unclassified non-coding RNA is filed under the name Hevea brasiliensis (rubber tree). Lineage: Eukaryota; Viridiplantae; Streptophyta; Magnoliopsida; Malpighiales; Euphorbiaceae. The record is from RNAcentral.
GUCUGGAUUUUACUCUUCACCGAUAUUAAAUUGGAAAAUUGUACGGUACACAAAAAACCUGUGCCACUAUAAAUACACUUUUAACGACCGGAUUCCUAUCCCUUCCUUAAGACUUUGGACUUAAAAUGAUUAAUUUCCUAGCUCUGGACAUAAGAGAAGUUAAGUUAGCACCUGUCAUAUGCAGAGAUGAUAUAUUAAUUAAGCUGUUGCUUAGGCAAGU